This is a long non-coding RNA of Anolis carolinensis (green anole), 1961 nucleotides long. RefSeq lists it as uncharacterized. NCBI's taxonomy places the organism in Eukaryota, Metazoa, Chordata, Lepidosauria, Squamata, Anolidae. The record is from RefSeq and is a predicted model, not a curated record. The transcript has 7 exons.
CAGAUAAUGAUCUCCCAAGGAACAGCUGCUGGUUUGAACAAAAACCCCAACAUGAUUUUGUUAUAGACAUAUGACUGCAGAGCAGGCAGAAUAAGAUCGCAAUUCACUCCGAAAGGACAUUAGGGUAAUCAGUAUAUAUUGAAAACAUACUCUGCAACUCUCCAUGAACUCGUGACGCUUUAUUUGGCGAGAUACAAUAUAUCUUCUAAAGUGAGAUUCCAGGAAAGAAGGCGAUGAGGAUCUGUCUGAAGUACCUAUUUCUGACACUUGCCUUUUAUCAGACAACUCAGCAAAAUGCCUCCACCUCUUUGGGAAAGAAACAAUUGCAAAGCCUGCUAGAUAACUACCCUCUGUACCAGAUACCAAGGCAUGGAACUGACCCUCUUCUGGUGAAUAUCAACGUGUUGGUGUCCAAUGUGAUCGAUGUGGUAUGUAUGAUGACUUUUGAACACCUAUGGACUGCUACUGUAUCCCUGGCCAGCGGCUCUGUUCAAAAUGUAAAGGUCAAGAUGAAACAGAGAUUGCUCCCAGAUUCUUCUGUGAAGGGAAUUGGGGGCAACACUAAAUUACAGAAGUGUCAAAAGACUCAUUGGCAGCUCAUUUCGGAGGGUUGAUUUUCUUAAAAAUGUUCAUGCCUAGUGUAUGAACUUUACAAUGUGACCUUUUUAAAAAGGAAAAUAUUUGCCCGUGUGACAUACAUACGUAUAUGUACACAACCACAGUGUAAAGCUCAGAAGAAAAACUGAAGUUGAAUUUUUUUCUCCACUAGGAUAUCACGAAAUACACUUUCACAGCUGUCUUGGUCUUGAAUCAGUCAUGGUACAACAAAGAUCUGGUUUGGGAUGAGAAAGAGUACCCCUUCACCACCAUCACCGUGCCCUGGAGUUCAAUAUGGACUCCGAGCCUCACAGUUCGAGAAGCGUUUGACGUGACCUGGAAGGUCGAAUCACCCAAUGUAGUGGUGCGCAGUAAUGGAAAAGUGGAAUUUCUGCUUCCUUUGAGCAUUGGCAGCAACUGUAACUUAAAUCUCUUUUAUUUCCCCCGUGAUAUCUCCAGCUGCACCCUGAGCUUCUUCUCUAUGUCCAAUGAAGUCAGUGAGAUAGAAUUCAAUGUAUCUGUUCAAAAUGAAAUCCUGAAUCUAAAGCGUGAAUAUCUUGUCAUGGGUAUGGACAUCACAAGCCCAAGGAAUAUGGCACAGCCUUAUUUUGUAGUGAAGGUAAGGAUAUGACUUGGUCUCUAAUCCAAACAAGCACCAAAAGCUUCUUUACUAGAUCAAACUCCCUGGAUGCACCCAUUUUUGCAAGCUGCGCUGCAAAAAGUGGUGUUGCCCUAACAACGCACACUUUGGAUGAAACAGAUGUUCAAAAUACGCUUUCCUGCCAUAGUGAUCCUUGUGGUCUCUUUUACAGAUAAAUCUAGAAAACACAGGAAUACGAGCCAUAUUUUCUGUGAUUGUGCCUAGUUUGUUACUUGUUAUUGCUGACCUCUGUGGUUUCUUCGUUCCGCUCCAAGACAGGAUGUCAUACAUGGUCACCCUGUUAUUGGCAUACCUGGUCUUCCACUCCUCUGUGGUUGGAUCUCUACCUGGUUCAUCUUCUUGCAAUCCUCUGCUCAGUUUUUACUACAUGGGUCUCCUGGUGUUGCUAUUCGUAAGCACGAUUGAGACCAUCUUGGUGGCAAAGUUAGUUUCGGACAACAUAUAUCUGUGGCCAAACUGUCUAUUACGAGGCAAAAAGACCAAGGUUACUACUAGGUUAUCUAAAGAUGAAAGUUAUCAUGUUGAAGAUACUAACGAUCCCGGGAAACAAAGUGAGUAAGAAAUAAAGAAAGAUAAGAGUGACACUUCAAAGGCAAUGUGACAAAUAAGACACUUUUGAGUCCAGCAACACCAAACCUUGAUGCUAAAAGUUGUUUGCCAGGAAGGUGGUCUGGAAUCAAAUACUUUUAAAAAAAACCCAAAG